AGGCCCAAAGGGAGAGGCAGGGUCUGAUCCGCAGCCUCCGUGGCAGCUGUUAAUCAGCCGUUGCCUCUCUUUCUCUCCA
Non-coding RNA from Myotis lucifugus (little brown bat), 79 nucleotides. NCBI's taxonomy places the organism in Eukaryota, Metazoa, Chordata, Mammalia, Chiroptera, Vespertilionidae. The record is from Rfam.